RNAcentral lists this long non-coding RNA (1833 nucleotides) under Strongylocentrotus purpuratus (purple sea urchin). RNAcentral describes it as "uncharacterized LOC115929644". Lineage: Eukaryota; Metazoa; Echinodermata; Echinoidea; Camarodonta; Strongylocentrotidae. The record is from RNAcentral.
UAGACAAAGCAAAGUUCACCGUGGUGCAUGUGGAUGGAUACAUAUACAGCCACGGUGAAUCAUAGAGAAUUAUAAUAUUGUCCCUAUCAUAUUCGGAUUGCACAUACAUAUUGUGGACGGACAUUAUCUCAGCUAGAAGGACAAAGAACGACAACAACAUCAGCAGCAAUGGCAGAUGGUAUCAGAGACUUCAGUGGCAAAAUUCUAAGAAACACUGAUCCACUGUUUACCAAUAUUGCUGAAAACUACCCAUCCGGCAAUUACACGUCAUUCUGCAAUGAGUUUGGAGUUGGAUUCAACUUAGCUAAGCAAAUAUUAAGAGUUGAAAACAUGGGAAAUCAAACGGCAGCCUUGAAACAAGUACUUAAUAAAUGGUUAAGCGAGGGAAAAGACGUGACCAGAGAAAAGCUUGAAUCGGCACUCACAAAUGCACAAACAGGAGGACUCAUAAGCAUUGUCGAGAAGAAUUUUGCAACAUAUGCAGAACAGGAAGAAUCAGCUUGAGGUGGUGGAAACACUCAAUCGGGUGGCAUUACGAUCAGUGCAUCUGGAAGUGCGACCAUCCAGAAUAAUACGGUUACUGGGCAGACUAACAACAUUACUCAUAAUUAGGAAAAUGGUAGCAGCCGACUAAAAUAAAUGUAAAUUUAAAAGAAGAACUAAAGUAGCCGAUACCAAAUAUUUAAAGCCCAACAUGUUUUACACUUGCUAUAUCACACGGGGAACACUAUUCUUUUCCUCAAAAUUGUAACUUUUGGACUUAAAAUAGAUAAAUAGAAGAUUUGAUUUCAACCGAUUUUCUUCCGUUAGACGUACACGUAUGUCUAUUAUGUAUAAAGACAAGAUUAUAUAGAACAAUUUUGAUGUAGAUAGCAAAUUACAAUGAUCCAGAAUAUUGUUUUCCUCUCGAUUUGUAUAAUUUCUUUCUCAGCUCUCGCGCCUCCAUACUAGAGUUGUGAUAGAGUGCCAUGCGGCGCAUAAUACUCAUACUCACUAAUAAUUUAUUUAGAAUUAGAGUAAUGUUUAGAGCAGGCUCGAGAUCGUGUCUCAUAUAAAGGAAAUUAAUUGUGAUUUAUGUCUACCUGUAUUAUUACGGAGAUGAUGGGAAAACAAAAUCAUUCACAUUUCAUGAACCUGGCGGGAAACUUGUCAGAAAUGGUCAGUUUUAUUUUAUCAUGCAUAAAUCAUUAUCCCGGUAGUUUUACUGACUAUGGACUUCACUCGAAAAAAAAUUCAAACAAAACACUUUUCUCUUGGCAGUUGUCUAGUUUCCUUCCAUCAUGACCAUGUUUCGAUAUUACAGAACAAAUUAAGGCAUCUCAAUGAUUAUUCAUUAUCAGGUUUUUAUUUUAAUGUUCACAUCCAACAUUGCAUGUUAUCUGAUUAUAUAUUUAGAAUUUUGUUAAAUAUAUUUUAAUAUUAAGAGUGCCUCUAUUCAAUUGGAAAAUAAUAUGCUUAAUCUUUAUAGAAGAUAGAGGGGUUGUACUAGGUCAUAUAUUUAUACUUAUUGCUAUUAUUCCUGGUUGUAUCUUAGUUUGUUCCCAAUAAAAUCUUGUUGCAGAGAUGUACAAUGUAGUGUUAUUUGGUUUGCUUUGAAAUUUGUUUUGACGAGAAUUUAAAUAACGAUGUAACUAAUCGGCGGAGUAUAUUUUGUUAUCUUUUAUAUAAGCUUUAGAGAGUGUUUGCCCUAGGGGGUAGUUGUCCUAGGGGUAGUUGAUUGGGGGUGGUUAUCCGGGGCGGGAUGUCCAGGGGGAAGGUGUCCUUGAACCGCUCAGACAGCUCACACAUUAUCAGACCUGUGUGCUUUCAUAUCCGGACACCUACCCACUGGAA